RNAcentral lists this ribosomal RNA (484 nucleotides) under uncultured bacterium. RNAcentral describes it as "bacterial SSU rRNA". It matches the Rfam family "Bacterial small subunit ribosomal RNA", at positions 30 to 507 of the family's 1533-position model. The record is from RNAcentral.
UUGAACGCUGGCGGCAGGCCUAACACAUGCAAGUCGAGCGGUAGAGAGGUGCUUGCAUCUCUUGAGAGGCGGCGGGACGGGUGAGUAAUGCUAGGAAUCUGCCUAGUGGUGGGGGAUAACGUUCGGAAACGGACGCUAAUACCGCAUACGAUCUAUGGAUGAAAGCGGGGGAUCGCAAGACCUCGCGCGAUUGGAGCGGCCGAUAUCAGAUUAGGUAGUUGGUGAGGUAAAGGCUCACCAAGCCGACGAUCUGUAGCUGGUCUGAGAGGACGACCAGCCACACUGGGACUGAGACACGGCCCAGACUCCUACGGGAGGCAGCAGUGGGGAAUUUUGGACAAUGGGCGCAAGCCUGAUCCAGCAAUGCCGCGUGCAGGAUGAAGGCCUUCGGGUUGUAAACUGCUUUUGUACGGAACGAAACGGUGAGCUCUAAUACAGUUUGCUAAUGACGGUACCGUAAGAAUAAGCACCGGCUAACUACGUG